UGGGUAAAAUGACCCAACCUG
This 21-nucleotide microRNA is filed under the name Malus domestica (apple). RNAcentral describes it as "mdm-miR11015". The record is from miRBase by way of RNAcentral. Lineage: Eukaryota; Viridiplantae; Streptophyta; Magnoliopsida; Rosales; Rosaceae.